GACGAACGCUGGCGGCGUGCUUAACACAUGCAAGUCGAACGGGGCUCAUCGCCUUUGGUGGUGGGUCUAGUGGCGAACGGGUGAGUAACACGUGGGCAACCUGCCCCUGGCUCUGGGAUAACUCCAAGAAAUUGGGGCUAAUACCGGAUAGUCACUGCUGGCCGCAUGGUUGGUGGUGGAAAGUUUUUUCGGCUGGGGAUGGGCCCGCGGCCUAUCAGCUUGUUGGUGGGGUGAUGGCCUACCAAGGCGACGACGGGUAGCCGGCCUGAGAGGGUGA
RNAcentral lists this ribosomal RNA (277 nucleotides) under uncultured bacterium. RNAcentral describes it as "partial 16S ribosomal RNA". It matches the Rfam family "Bacterial small subunit ribosomal RNA", at positions 28 to 303 of the family's 1533-position model. The record is from RNAcentral.